UGGGGAAUAUUGCACAAUGGGGGAAACCCUGAUGCAGCGACGCCGCGUGAGUGAAGAAGUAUUUCGGUAUGUAAAGCUCUAUCAGCAGGGAAGAUAAUGACGGUACCUGACUAAGAAGCUCCGGCUAAAUACGUGCCAGCAGCCGCGGUAAUACGUAUGGAGCAAGCGUUAUCCGGAUUUACUGGGUGUAAAGGGAGCGCAGACGGCAAGGCAAGUCUGAUGUGAAAGUCCGAGGCUCAACCUCGGGACUGCAUUGGAAACUGUCUGGCUAGAGUGCAGGAGAGGUAAGUGGAAUUCCUAGUGUAGCGGUGAAAUGCGUAGAUAUUAGGAGGAACACCAGUGGCGAAGGCGGCUUACUGGACUGUAACUGACGUUGAGGCUCGAAAGCGUGGGGAGCAAA
RNAcentral lists this ribosomal RNA (400 nucleotides) under uncultured bacterium. RNAcentral describes it as "bacterial SSU rRNA". It matches the Rfam family "Bacterial small subunit ribosomal RNA", at positions 355 to 772 of the family's 1533-position model. The record is from RNAcentral.